This 1136-nucleotide long non-coding RNA is filed under the name Equus caballus (horse). RNAcentral's name for it is "lncRNA (ENSECAG00000057820.1)". Lineage: Eukaryota; Metazoa; Chordata; Mammalia; Perissodactyla; Equidae. The record is from RNAcentral.
GGAACUUCAUCAUUAUGGGUUCUGAUUGCAGAGCGACUAUGACUAUAUAAUGCUGUAUGGAAUCCUCUUCCAUCUAGAAGGAGAGAGCCAGAGUAACAGGUGUGCAGCACCCAGAAAUAGCCUAAGAGAACAUUGGAAUGACCUCUCAUUUAAGGCACCAGCUUGAAGACAACACCCUGUGGGGUUGAGACAUUGUAGCUGACCACCUUCUUGAUGGAGACUCUGUGGAUUGGACUUAGGGAAGGCGAGAACAGUGAUAUAAGGAGCCCUCUUGUGCACCACUUCAAAUCCUUUUAGCUCUUACUCCAGCCACUGCUUUGGUAACCAGCUUUGCACAGACGUCAACCAGUUCUUUGCCUGUACAACAUGACAGUGCCUUGUCUUGGGCCCAGUGCUACAUAUGUCUUAGUCUGUCCUUGAUGCUGUUGGCACGUACACAGGUGUAACCCAAAAUACAGGGAGGUUUAAGGUUUGUGGGGUAUUCUUACAGUCUAAGGCUCAGAUCAAUGGAGGAUGCAAGCCAAAGGAUAAAUCGUUCCUCUUUCAUCCCCCAAGCACACAGCUCUGAGAUGCAUGCAUGAGACUUACUAGAAAGUCCUCUAGUUUGAGCACCCGUCGCAGAUAGCCUGGCCAACUCACGAACACAGCCAUCCUUCCCUGUUUCAUUUCCUUGUUCUUCACUCUUGCUCCCAGAGACACAUUCCCAAAUAAACUGCCCACGUGAAAGCCUUUGUCUCAGUCUCUGUUUUGGAGGAAACUAAGAUAAGAUGCAUGGCCACACCUAAUAACUGCAGAAGAGGCUGGAGAAAUCACAUCACAGGGCAGCUAUAUGUCCAGUUUCCAUUACUACGGAAGACGAGGGAGCAGAUUUGGUGGCCAGCUAGCAGUCUCCACUCCAGCAGGAAAGUGCUGAAACAUUUGACAGACGCCCCAGCCAAAGAGUUAAAAAUAAUAGAAGUUUUGAUGCUUAAAAGGAUAAGUAGUACAACUACCAUUGUCCAAAGAGAAGAGGACAUUUCCUUGGCUGUGACCAGCAGAGUGGAGAGAGAAGAGGAGAAUGCCAAGGGUCAGAUGGCUGGAAUGUGACCACACUUAGCUACCAGGAAGGAAAGGAUGAGCCAUUAAAGGAGAAAAAC